UGCACAAUCCCGUCAUAGCCAGAAAUGUUUCAGCUGCAUCAUUAUUUAUUUUUAUUCUUUUCCUGCAGCAUCUUGUUUGCCCUUGGUUGUAAGAGGAUUGAGCUGAUGUUAGCAUUGUUUUCAAUUGGUAUUUUUCUGAAGAAAAAGGCAUGAAUGGACACUGCAGUUUUGACUGAUCUGAUAAUAAGUAUAGGGGAAAGCACUUGGUGUGGUUGCAUUGCCCUGUUGUCCUGGGCUGCAGACGGUCACUGAAGCUGUGCUCACCCCCCCCAGGUGCUAACACUCAGCCUCUGCUGGGCAGAUGAAGCACAGCUGGGUAAGGAGCAGGUCCUGAUAGGCAUUGUUUGUUGGCCUGGGAGCUUGCCUUGCCUAUUUAGGGAACUGACACAAACCUGGGAGCUCAGAAACGUGGUGCUCUCUGCUGUAGCCGUUCAUGUUCUUCACAUUCAGCAGGUGUGAGCUGCCACCAGCAGCAGUUUUUCUCCUUGGAUUCCAGGCACCAUUCACAUCCCACUUUUUGGAAUAUGGCCAUCACUACAUUUAGCCACCAGUCCUGGAAGGAUGUGGUGCUGCCCUGCUGACAACCCACCAGAGAUGCCCUGAGGGCUGGGAUGCACGUUGCUGUCUGCCCUGAGGCUGUAAGCUUGUGAUAACACCACCGAGCUCGCAUCGAGGAGGGGAAGCCGAGCAACCUCAAUUUUGGAGCUGAGCAGCAGCGGGGAACCCAUCUUAAAGCUGCAUCACCUCACCGGCUUCAAAAGCGAAGGAGCUUCUUUUAUUGCAGUGAGCUGCUCUCCAGGAAUGAUUAAAGUCCCGUAAACGAGCACCUUCCUCAUGGCAGAGCCGUCUGCUGACAGGGUGCCAAGUACAACAAGCCCAAUCCAAAGCAUCACCACCUCCAUGGGGCUAAUUGUCAUUGCCUUGUCCCUUGAACAAGAAUUGUGGUAAGGGAAAGCAGAGCCUGGAGACACAUGCAUGUCCCUGUACAGAAAUAACCCCUGAAGGAGAACUGAAAAGCAAUUGAGGAGUCGGCCUAUGGGCUGCAGACAAAGCGCAGAGCAAAGGAGAUAACCAGCAGUGAGCGCUGGGAAAUAAUGCCUUAAAUUCCCUCUGAGCCCGUUCAUCACCGUGGCUUUGGUGAUCAUCUCAGCAACAAAUUCCCUUAUCAUCCGGCUGGAAUUUGAUGUUAAUGACCUGUCUGUUAUUUCAGAGGGAGAUGGACUGGAACCAGUGGGUAAUUGGUAGGAAAAAUCGCUGGGUGCAGCUAAGAGCUGAUGCUACUGGAGUCGUUACACCAUGAGAGAGGGAGAUUAGGGAGCUCUGCUUACCACAAGGGGUUUAUUCAUCCUGAAUAAAUGCAUUAGCUGACCAGAAUCGUCCUUCUAUGCCCUCAUUCCUGUCUGGUGGCAUCUCCCCACCACAGCUCACCCUGCUUUUCCCAACAGACAGCAGAGAAAGCCCAGCAGAAGCUGAUAGAAUCAUAGAACACCCAGAGCUGGAAGGGACCCAUAAGGAUCAUCGAGUCCAAUUCCUGCUGUUGAGAUGAUCACGAUUCAUCACUACUGGGUGAGGAACCUUCAAACAGAUUUGUUUGGAGCCUUGGUGUGGACUCACAAUGGCUGGGAAUAUUCUUGCUAUUCCUAGAAAAACAGAUUCCAGCUGGAGGGGAAGAAGAGCUCCAGCAUUAGAGAUGACCUAAACAGCACGCAUCCCAGAUGAGAUGGGAAGUGGAGAACUGCUAGAAACAUCUCUGGCCCUUUCAGCAGAACUGUUUUCCCUUUGCCUUCUUGAGGCUGAGCUGCAAACAUUACAUGGAUGAACCCACCAGCCUGCUGCUGUUUCUUUUUGCAUGUUCACAAGGUAGCUUCUGAAAUAAGUUUGAACACUGUUGCUCUUGCACUCACAUCAGGCUGCAGGGGAGUCCCUGCUCAUGCUGCCCUGAUCUCACUGCUCUUACUUCCCCUGCUGAUGCAUCAGUGUACGAUGUGGCUGGAAAUGAGGUGGUGCAGGGUGGUCUACUCUGUUUUGCAGCAGAAAUGGGUUGCUGGGCUCCUGAAGGCAUUCCCCAGGACUGCUAUGGUCCAGGAAAGAUGCUCUGCUUCAAGCUGGGGUUGUGCUGGUGGGAGCUGGGGAUUUCACGUCUUGCUCCGGUUGGAUAUUUCAACCAAUGGCACAAAUCAUGGAUGACCCCCUAAGAGGAAAUACAUGGCAGGAAAUACAUUGGCCAUAUGAGUUUGAGAGUCGUUUCAGUUUUGAACAGUGCACUGAUCAAGAUUUGGCUAAUGGGUAUGUUGGGACAUGCACAUAGAUAUGUUCUUCUUUUGAGUCCUCCUCUUUACCUUUCAGCCCCUGAAAUCAUCCAAGCUGCUAACACUCUGAGGAGGGUGACGCAGCAAAAAUAAUACUUUUAGCAAGAAGCAGAAAAAUGAGAUUUGCAUAUGUUUUUCUGGGAAAAAUAUCAAGCUGCCCUGCUUAGAAAAUGAAUGGGUUGGAAAUCAGCUUGUAAAACUUGAAGCCUGACUCAGGCACUGAUUUGUCACAGGGCUGUCACCUGCGGUCAUUGUUAGUGAGGAGCCCUCAGUGUUCUGUCCAAAGGGAAAGAUUGCUGUCUGUGUUAUUGAUGGAUUCGUGUCUGGGGAAGAGCAAAUCCCGGUCAAGCUGGAGGACUUUUACACACAUUCAGCAGCAGGUAAGCAGGGUUGUGGAAUACAGAACCAUCCCUGCUCAGUGCAGAGCAGCUCCCAAGGAGCACAGUGAUAAAUGAAUUGCAGAAAGCUGGGGGGUUCGGCUCGGCCAGGGGAAGUAAUGCUGGUAUCUGAUCUCUGCAAACCUGAUUUUCCGCUUACGUGCCUGAUGAUAAAUCAGCGGUAAAUGUGCUUACGUUGGCACAACAAGUCUUCCCCUGGAUGCAGCUCUAUAGGCACGCACUUCCUUGACCACAAGCGCCCAGAUUUGGUGCAGAAACCAUAAGCAUGGUGCUGGCAGUCAGCAUCCCAUCCCAACAACAGCACAGCCAUGGGAGGAGGACAGCAAGCCCUCCAGGAGAACCUCUCCAAACUGCAGAUAAGGUUUGAUUUUGAAACUGGGGCAAAAGUUGAAAUAGGAUUUAAUUUUAUCUCAAUUGAUUCAUCUGUCCCUAAUUAGUAAUAGCUUCCUAAUGCAUGAUGCAAGGAUACGAGGAGGUUUGUUUUUUUUUUAAAUGAAUGACUUUUGGCUAAGAUAAAAUAUUGCUGUUCUCAGAUUGUCUCUGAUAGUUCUUUUCAUACGCCAAUAGAGAUUUGUGCAGUCUUAGAUGAAAAAUACAUGAGAUCCUGCAGUCACACACGCCGAAGACUAAACUCUUAUAGAUUAUGGAUCCUGUCUUGUUCCCAAUUUAUUUUGUACAUCCCAUUUAGUGUCUGUAUUUGCUUUUACUGAGAGAGGAGCCUCGGUCUCCCAGAAUUGCAGUGUGUGAUGCUGUGCAGGGAUGGAGCAAAAACUGAUCCUUACACCCAGGGCAGUUUCUCACAGGAACAAUGUGAAAUUGCCCAUUUUUCUCUUUUCAGGAUGAAAGUUGUGCCUGCUUUACCUUACUUUCUCUUUCUGUCCUCUUCUCCAUUUCCUCUCUCCUUCCUGCCCAUGAGUCAAGGGGCUGAAAGUAGAGCUGAGGCCGAGUGGCAGGGAUGCAGGAGGUGGAGCAGUGCUUGUGGGCUGUGUUUGGGUUGAAUUGCAUGAUCCCAGGCAGCAGGAGGUGCAGGUUGCCCACAACCCAUUCCUGGAUAGCAUGGCCACAAGAUAAUCCCUCUCGCCUUGUAAUGCUCUUCCACAUCAUUUCUGUGCUCUGACUCGUACUUUGCUGUACCAUCCAACAUAUUCCAUCCCAAACCUCAGUCUUUACACCCUUGAAACCCUUCCAGGCUGCUAUCGUGUCCCUUUCCCCAACUCAUCUCGCCAAGCAAUACCC
This is a long non-coding RNA of Lagopus muta (rock ptarmigan), 3943 nucleotides long. RefSeq lists it as uncharacterized. The record is from RefSeq and is a predicted model, not a curated record. The transcript is spliced from 3 exons. NCBI's taxonomy places the organism in Eukaryota, Metazoa, Chordata, Aves, Galliformes, Phasianidae.